This 375-nucleotide ribosomal RNA is filed under the name uncultured bacterium. RNAcentral's name for it is "bacterial SSU rRNA". It matches the Rfam family "Bacterial small subunit ribosomal RNA", at positions 524 to 898 of the family's 1533-position model. The record is from RNAcentral.
UACGUAGGGGGCAAGCGUUGUCCGGAAUUAUUGGGCGUAAAGGGUGCGUAGGCGGCCUUUCAAGUUGGAUGUGAAAUCUCCGUGCUUAACAUGGAAAUUGCAUUCAAAACUGGAGGGCUUGAGUGUGGAAGAGGUAAGUGGAAUUCCCAGUGUAGCGGUGAAAUGCGUAGAUAUUGGGAGGAACACCAGUGGCGAAGGCGACUUACUGGGCCACAACUGACGCUGAUGCACGAAAGCGUGGGGAGCAAACAGGAUUAGAUACCCUGGUAGUCCACGCUGUAAACGAUGGAUACUAGGUGUAGGGGGUAACACCCCCCCUGUGCCGCAGCAAACGCAUUAAGUAUCCCGCCUGGGGAGUACGGUCGCAAGAUUGAA